RNAcentral lists this ribosomal RNA (505 nucleotides) under uncultured Actinomycetes bacterium. RNAcentral describes it as "bacterial SSU rRNA". It matches the Rfam family "Bacterial small subunit ribosomal RNA", at positions 8 to 522 of the family's 1533-position model. The record is from RNAcentral. Lineage: Bacteria; Bacillati; Actinomycetota; Actinomycetes.
AGAGUUUGAUCAUGGCUCAGGACGAACGCUGGCGGCGUGCCUAAUACAUGCAAGUCGAACGAGGUCUCUCUCGGUGGCAACACCUUGGGUUACCUAGUGGCGAACGGGUGAGUAACACGUGAGGAACCUGCCCCGAAGACCGGGAUAACCAGAGGAAACCCUGGCUAAUACCGGAUACCCCCACCGGAUCGCAUGGUCUGGUGAGGAAAUGGAUUCCGCUUCGGGAGGGCCUCGCGGCCUAUCAGCUUGUUGGUGGGGUAACGGCCCACCAAGGCUUCGACGGGUAGCUGGUCUGAGAGGACGAUCAGCCACACUGGGACUGAGACACGGCCCAGACUCCUACGGGAGGCAGCAGUAGGGAAUCUUGCGCAAUGGGCGAAAGCCUGACGCAGCAACGCCGCGUGCGGGAUGACGGCCUUCGGGUUGUAAACCGCUUUCAGCAAGGACGAAAUUGACGGUACCUGCAGAAGAAGCCCCGGCCAACUACGUGCCAGCAGCCGCGGUA